CAGUCGCCGCGGUAAUACGGAGGGAGCUAGCGUUGUUCGGAAUUACUGGGCGUAAAGCGCGCGUAGGCGGUUUAUCAAGUUGAGAGUGAAAUCCCGAAGCUUAACUUCGGAACUGCUUUCAAAACUGUUAGACUAGAGAUAGGUAGAGGAUGGUGGAAUUCCUAGUGUAGAGGUGGAAUUCGUAGAUAUUAGGAGGAACAUCGGAGGUGAAAACGGCCAUCUGGGCCUUAUCUGACGCUAAAGCGCGAAAGCGUGGGGAGCAAACAGGAUUAGAUACCCCUGUAGUCCCUGUCUCUUAUAA
This 301-nucleotide ribosomal RNA is filed under the name uncultured bacterium. RNAcentral describes it as "partial 16S ribosomal RNA". It matches the Rfam family "Bacterial small subunit ribosomal RNA", at positions 509 to 809 of the family's 1533-position model. The record is from RNAcentral.